UACGUAGGGCGCAAGCGUUGUCCGGAAUUAUUGGGCGUAAAGAGCUCGUAGGCGGCCAGUUGCGUCUGCUGUGAAAUCCCGGGGCUCAACCCCGGGCGUGCAGUGGAUACGGGCUGGCUAGAGGCAGGCAGGGGAGAACGGAAUUCCCGGUGUAGCGGUGAAAUGCGCAGAUAUCGGGAGGAACACCGGUGGCGAAGGCGGUUCUCUGGGCCUGUUCUGACGCUGAGGAGCGAAAGCGUGGGGAGCGAACAGG
This 253-nucleotide ribosomal RNA is filed under the name uncultured bacterium. Its description in RNAcentral is "partial 16S ribosomal RNA". It matches the Rfam family "Bacterial small subunit ribosomal RNA", at positions 524 to 776 of the family's 1533-position model. The record is from RNAcentral.